UUUUUGCCAAGGCCUUACCAUUAUAUUACUUAUUUUUUUAAUAAUAAAACUUGUAAAACUUUCUAUUUGUUACAUAGUGUACAGACCCAAUUUUACCCGGGCCUAGUGCCAAAAAUAUUAACCCGGGGCCCAAUUACAAAAACAAAUACCUAAUAGCCCAAGGCCUAAAAUCUAAAACGGCCCAUUGGGGCCCAAAAAUUAAACAGCACAGGGAACCCUAGGGUUCCCUGCCCUUGCCCGUGCCGCUGCUCCCAUGUGCAUUGUCAGCACGCCCACCGCCCGAGGUCUGCUCUUCUGGUACGGCCUUGCACCAAUGCAGCAAGUUGACUUUGCCCGAACCUGCAACACAAUAAAACAGCAAGGACAAACAGAGCAAAAAAAGCAACAAAGAAGAAACAAGAAAAAAGAAACAGAUAGGACCUUGUAGUUUCGGCUAUAAAGUCAUUUCUCUAAAACGAUUGUAAAUGGGGGAUUUUGGUAAAAAAAAACACAUUAGCAUAAAGAAAUAAAAGCAAAAAAAAGAUUCAAGGUUUUUUUAUAUUAGAUUCGCACUUCUUUUUUUUAUUUUUUUAUUUUUUUGUACAUUAAAUAGAGAAUAAAGGAAAAGGAAAAGAGAUUACCCGAAUUACCCCGUCGUUCCACCGUCUUGGGCUUCGCCGGAUUGGUGUUGAAAGGAGGGGCUAAGGGCUUUCUUUUUCUUUUUUAGGGUCGAAAAUCCAUACCUUCAGGUUCAUUUUGGAACACGGCCAAAGAGGGCCUUCUCACGCCGCAUCGGCCUUUGGCCGCGGUGGUCACACGGCAAAGCGCCGUUGAGACAAGCGCCGGAGUUCAGAGAACCAAAGAGGGAUGGGGAAGCUCCCUCUCUUUCUUUUUUUUAUUCUUGCGG
RNAcentral lists this long non-coding RNA (886 nucleotides) under Gossypium barbadense (sea-island cotton). RNAcentral's name for it is "long non-coding RNA (GBAR_LNC022667)". Lineage: Eukaryota; Viridiplantae; Streptophyta; Magnoliopsida; Malvales; Malvaceae. The record is from RNAcentral.